RNAcentral lists this ribosomal RNA (695 nucleotides) under uncultured bacterium. RNAcentral's name for it is "bacterial SSU rRNA". It matches the Rfam family "Bacterial small subunit ribosomal RNA", at positions 32 to 715 of the family's 1533-position model. The record is from RNAcentral.
AACGCUAGCUACAGGCUUAACACAUGCAAGUAGAGGGGCAGCAUGAAUAAAGUUUCGGCUUUAUUUGAUGGCGACCUGCGAAUGGGUGAGUAACACGUAUCCAACCUGCCUGUUACUGGAGGAUAGCCUCCCGAAAGGGAAAUUAACACUCCAUAUUAUAUAGAUGAGGCAUCUUGUUUAUAUGAAAGUUUCACGGUAACGGAUGGGGAUGCGUCCCAUUAGAUAGUAGGCGGGGUAACGGCCCACCUAGUCGACGAUGGGUAGGGGUUCUGAGGGGAAGGUCCCCCACAUUGGAACUGAGACACGGUCCAAACUCCUACGGGAGGCAGCAGUGAGGAAUAUUGGUCAAUGGGCGAGAGCCUGAACCAGCCAAGUAGCGUGCAGGACGACGGCCCUAUGGGUUGUAAACUGCUUUUAUAUGGGGAUAAAGUGAGUUACGUGUAGCUUAUUGCAGGUACCAUAUGAAUAAGGACCGGCUAAUUCCGUGCCAGCAGCCGCGGUAAUACGGAAGGUCCAGGCGUUAUCCGGAUUUAUUGGGUUUAAAGGGAGCGUAGGCCGCCCCUUAAGCGUGUUGUGAAAUGCCGCGGCUCAACCGUGGCACUGCAGCGCGAACUGGGGGGCUUGAGUGCACGCAACGCAGGCGGAAUUCGUGGUGUAGCGGUGAAAUGCUUAGAUAUCACGAAGAACUCCGAUUG